UACGUAGGGUGCGAGCGUUAAUCGGAAUUACUGGGCGUAAAGCGUGCGCAGGCGGUGAUGUAAGACAGAUGUGAAAUCCCCGGGCUCAACCUGGGAACUGCAUUAGUGACUGCAUCGCUGGAGUGCGGCAGAGGGGGAUGGAAUUCCGCGUGUAGCAGUGAAAUGCGUAGAUAUGCGGAGGAACACCGAUGGCGAAGGCAAUCCCCUGGGCCUGCACUGACGCUCAUGCACGAAAGCGUGGGGAGCAAACAGG
This 253-nucleotide ribosomal RNA is filed under the name uncultured bacterium. RNAcentral's name for it is "partial 16S ribosomal RNA". It matches the Rfam family "Bacterial small subunit ribosomal RNA", at positions 524 to 776 of the family's 1533-position model. The record is from RNAcentral.